Non-coding RNA from Microcebus murinus (gray mouse lemur), 150 nucleotides. Lineage: Eukaryota; Metazoa; Chordata; Mammalia; Primates; Cheirogaleidae. The record is from RefSeq and is a predicted model, not a curated record.
CAACGUUAACAGGAGGCAGCAGCACUCCUGGGGCUCGGCCCAGCCCAGUAGGGACCACUGCAGCACCAGGAGGCCGAGCAACUGGGAGUGUGACAGCCACCACUGGGGUAGCCCCUGGCACAACUGUUGGCCCUGGCAGUUUCAACACAG